RNAcentral lists this transfer RNA (219 nucleotides) under Marmota monax (woodchuck). RNAcentral describes it as "tRNA.Ser". Lineage: Eukaryota; Metazoa; Chordata; Mammalia; Rodentia; Sciuridae. The record is from RNAcentral.
AUCAUUUUGGCUCAGUGGUAGAGCACUUGCCUAGAUGUGCAAGGCACUAGGCUUGAUUCUCAGCACCACAUUAAGAAAAACUAAAUAAAAUUGUGUCCAUCUACAAUUAAAAAAAUAUUUUAAAAAAAUCAAUUGGCUCUAGAGACUGGGGAUGUAACUCAUUGGAAGAGCACUUGCAUAGCAUGCAUGAGGCCCUGUGUUCAAUCCUUAAAAUUGAAA